Molecule: long non-coding RNA, 282 nt
Organism: Ananas comosus (pineapple)
Lineage: Eukaryota; Viridiplantae; Streptophyta; Magnoliopsida; Poales; Bromeliaceae
Exons: 2
Source: RefSeq, a predicted model, not a curated record
CCAACGAUAGAUCAGUAACCGGGUGGUUCUUUACAAACCCAGUAGGUACGAUUUGAGUUUUUUUCAUUCUUCAAAGAAAAAGUUGGAAGCUUUUAGUCAUCUGAUGGAUUGUUUUAUACACAAGUGGCUGAGUGCUUAAUUGAAUGUGUCCAUUCUCUGUUAUGCACAAAGAAGACCCAAACAUAGUGCUAAAUAAUUAAUCUUACUUAACUUUGGGACCAGAAACUCUUGUAUUAUACCUAAUCAAUUUCAUGAUCUUUGUCGACACUUGCAAAAGGAAAA